UAGGGGCAUAAUGGCCUUUUUUUUGUUUUGUUGCUUGUAUUUUUUGUUGUUUUAAAUGAUUGUUGAAAGGUUUUUAAGGUUGGUUUUUCAUAAUUUAGGAUUAGAGAAGAUUUUGAGCCUAGAAUUGGGUUUAUGGUGUUAUAUUAGUAUUGGCAUCAAUUUGAUAAAGGUGCCACAUGACUGAGCUCUCUCUCCUUCCUCUCUUUCUCUUCUUAUGUUCUAUCUUGUAUUUUGAGGAUGUACUAGCUCAAAGCCUCUCCUUGGGCCUUUAGCCACUAAGGCCAAACUCCAAACCCUAAAUCCUCAAAAACAUCCUCUGCUUCUAAAUUUGACAUAAACAAACCCUCAAUUGUCUCUAUACAACCAUAAAAACAAUGAACAAAAUAAAAAUAAAAAAAAUGGCAUAUUGGUGAAUUAUCAAAACACCAAGUCGUCCCAAGUGUCAAAACAACUAUUAUCGACCUACCUGGUCAUCAUCCUUGUUCAUCCCCUCUGGUACCAACCAAGAUAGCCCAAUUUUUGAUGUUCCAAGGUUCUAGACCUAUCCUAGGACCUAGAAUCUCACUGAUCUAAUUUGAGAUGGCCAAGACGGAUCAAUGCGGUCGGAAGCUUUAAUCCUUUCGAAGAAAAUGUUGCAAGGAUUAAAGUUGAGUCUUAGUAAUAUAGGAGCAAAAACUAAAACAAUAAAGUCCAUAUCAUGAUAAACAUCUAAGUUUAGUAUCUUAAGUUGAGUGGAAUAGAUCUUAAGCUUUUCAAACUAAUAAAUUUUCAAGUAAAAUUCUUAGAGAAGAGGGCAUCAAGUAUGAGCUUUUUUAUCAACAAAGCGUCCUUCAUAUUAGAGAGAACAAUGUGCAAUAUCUUAGUUAUGGGGAAAUAUAACAAACCAAGCAUUCUAAGAGACUAAUUAACAGAUUCAAGCAUCAAUACCUACAGUGACAAACAAUCA
This 946-nucleotide long non-coding RNA is filed under the name Phoenix dactylifera (date palm). RNAcentral describes it as "long non-coding RNA (PDAC_LNC012860)". The record is from RNAcentral. Lineage: Eukaryota; Viridiplantae; Streptophyta; Magnoliopsida; Arecales; Arecaceae.